RNAcentral lists this ribosomal RNA (460 nucleotides) under uncultured bacterium. RNAcentral's name for it is "partial 16S ribosomal RNA". It matches the Rfam family "Bacterial small subunit ribosomal RNA", at positions 338 to 795 of the family's 1533-position model. The record is from RNAcentral.
CCUACGGGUGGCAGCAGUGAGGAAUAUUGGUCAAUGGACGAGAGUCUGAACCAGCCAAGUAGCGUGAAGGAUGACUGCCCUAUGGGUUGUAAACUUCUUUUAUAUGGGAAUAAAAUGUUCCACGUGUGGCUUUUUGUAUGUACUAUAUGAAUAAGGAUCGGCUAACUCCGUGCCAGCAGCCGCGGUAAUACGGAGGAUCCGAGCGUUAUCCGGAUUUAUUGGGUUUAAAGGGAGCGUAGGUGGGUUGUUAAGUCAGUUGUGAAAGUUUGCGGCUCAACCGUAAAAUUGCAGUUGAAACUGGCAGUCUUGAGUACAGUAGAGGUGGGCGGAAUUCGUGGUGUAGCGGUGAAAUGCUUAGAUAUCACGAAGAACUCCGAUUGCGAAGGCAGCUCACUAGACUGCAACUGACACUGAGGCUCGAAAGUGUGGGUAUCAAACAGGAUUAGAUACCCUUGUAGUC